Molecule: ribosomal RNA, 363 nt
Filed under: uncultured bacterium
Lineage: Bacteria
Description: bacterial SSU rRNA
Rfam family: Bacterial small subunit ribosomal RNA
Source: RNAcentral
GGGAUCACACAAGCGGUGGAGCAUGUUGUUUAAUUCGAAGCAACGCGAAGAACCUUACCAGGCCUUGACAUGUACGGAUUAGUCACGUGAAAGCGUGGUGACAGCUCUUCGGAGUCGGAACGUACACAGGUGUUGCAUGGCUGUCGUCAGCUCGUGCCGUGAGGUGUUGGGUUAAGUCCCGUAACGAGCGAAACCCUUAUCGUUAGUUGCCAGCGGGUAAUGCCGGGGACUCUAGCGAGACUGCCGUUGUCAAAACGGAGGAAGGUGGGGACGACGUCAAGUCAUCAUGGCCCUUAUGGCCUGGGCUACAAACGUGCUACAAUGGUCCGUACAAUGGGUUCCGAAGCCGCGAGGUGUAGGCAA